Molecule: ribosomal RNA, 254 nt
Filed under: uncultured bacterium
Lineage: Bacteria
Description: partial 16S ribosomal RNA
Rfam family: Bacterial small subunit ribosomal RNA
Source: RNAcentral
GACAGAGGGUGCAAACGUUGCUCGGAUUUACUGGGCGUAAAGGGCGCGUAGGCGGCCACCGCAAGUCGACUGUGAAAUCUCCGGGCUUAACCCGGAAAGGUCAGCCGAUACUGCGGGGCUAGAGUGCAGAAGGGGCAACUGGAAUUCUCGGUGUAGCGGUGAAAUGCGUAGAUAUCGAGAGGAACACCUGCGGCGAAGGCGGGUUGCUGGGCUGACACUGACGCUGAGGAGCGAAAGUGUGGGGAGCGAACAGG